Molecule: ribosomal RNA, 253 nt
Filed under: uncultured bacterium
Lineage: Bacteria
Description: partial 16S ribosomal RNA
Rfam family: Bacterial small subunit ribosomal RNA
Source: RNAcentral
UACGUAGGGUGCAAGCGUUGUCCGGAAUUAUUGGGCGUAAAGAGCUCGUAGGCGGUUUGUCGCGUCUGCUGUGAAAACUCGGGGCUUAACCCCGGGCCUGCAGUGGGUACGGGCAGACUAGAGUGCGGUAGGGGAGACUGGAAUUCCUGGUGUAGCGGUGAAAUGCGCAGAUAUCAGGAGGAACACCGGUGGCGAAGGCGGUGAUCUGGGCCGGCACUGACGCUGAGGAGCGAAAGCGUGGGUAGCAAACAGG